Molecule: small nuclear RNA, 19 nt
Filed under: Arabidopsis thaliana (thale cress)
Lineage: Eukaryota; Viridiplantae; Streptophyta; Magnoliopsida; Brassicales; Brassicaceae
Description: snRNA_05375
Source: RNAcentral
GACUACAAGUCUCCCCCAC